GCGGCAAAAGCUCAAAUUUGAAAUCUGGUACCUUCGGUGCCCGAGUUGUAAUUUGGAGAGGGCAACUUUGGGGCCGUUCCUUGUCUAUGUUCCUUGGAACAGGACGUCAUAGAGGGUGAGAAUCCCGUGUGGCGAGGAGUGCGGUUCUUUGUAAAGUGCCUUCGAAGAGUCGAGUUGUUUGGGAAUGCAGCUCUAAGUGGGUGGUAAAUUCCAUCUAAAGCUAAAUAUUGGCGAGAGACCGAUAGCGAACAAGUACAGUGAUGGAAAGAUGAAAAGAACUUUGAAAAGAGAGUGAAAAAGUACGUGAAAUUGUUGAAAGGGAAGGGCAUUUGAUCAGACAUGGUGUUUUGUGCCCUCUGCUCCUUGUGGGUAGGGGAAUCUCGCAUUUCACUGGGCCAGCAUCAGUUUUGGUGGCAGGAUAAAUCCAUAGGAAUGUAGCUUGCCUCGGUAAGUAUUAUAGCCUGUGGGAAUACUGCCAGCUGGGACUGAGGACUGCGACGUAAGUCAAGGAUGCUGGCAUAAUGGUUA
This 528-nucleotide ribosomal RNA is filed under the name Saccharomyces cerevisiae (brewer's yeast). Its description in RNAcentral is "eukaryotic LSU rRNA". It matches the Rfam family "Eukaryotic large subunit ribosomal RNA", at positions 98 to 640 of the family's 3401-position model. Lineage: Eukaryota; Fungi; Ascomycota; Saccharomycetes; Saccharomycetales; Saccharomycetaceae. The record is from RNAcentral.